Molecule: ribosomal RNA, 989 nt
Filed under: Escovopsis aspergilloides
Lineage: Eukaryota; Fungi; Ascomycota; Sordariomycetes; Hypocreales; Hypocreaceae
Description: partial 18S ribosomal RNA
Rfam family: Eukaryotic small subunit ribosomal RNA
Source: RNAcentral
UUUAUUUGAUAAUACCUUACUACUUGGAUAACCGUGGUAAUUCUAGAGCUAAUACAUGCUAAAAAUCCCGACUUCGGAAGGGUUGUAUUUAUUAGAUUAAAAACCAAUGCCCUUCGGGGCUCUCUGGUGAAUCAUGAUAACUAGUCGAAUCGACAGGCCUUGUGCCGGCGAUGGCUCAUUCAAAUUUCUUCCCUAUCAACUUUCGAUGUUUGGGUAUUGGCCAAACAUGGUGGCAACGGGUAACGGAGGGUUAGGGCUCGACCCCGGAGAAGGAGCCUGAGAAACGGCUACUACAUCCAAGGAAGGCAGCAGGCGCGCAAAUUACCCAAUCCCGACACGGGGAGGUAGUGACAAUAAAUACUGAUACAGGGCUCUUUUGGGUCUUGUAAUCGGAAGAGACAAUUUAAAUCCCUAACGAGGAACAAUGGAGNNNNNNNNNNNNNNNNNNNNNNNNNNNNNNNNNNNNNNNNNUAGCGUAUAUUAAAGUUGUUGUGGUUAAAAAGCUCGUAGUUGAACCUUGGGCCUGGCUGGCCGGUCCGCCUCACCGCGUGCACUGGUCCGGCCGGGCCUUUCCCUCUGCGGAACCCCAUGCCCUUCACUGGGCGUGGCGGGGAAACAGGACUUUUACUUUGAAAAAAUUAGAGUGCUCAAGGCAGGCCUAUGCUCGAAUACAUUAGCAUGGAAUAAUGAAAUAGGACGUUGCGGUUCUAUUUUGUUGGUUUCUAGGACCGCCGUAAUGAUUAAUAGGGACAGUCGGGGGCAUCAGUAUUCAAUUGUCAGAGGUGAAAUUCUUGGAUUUAUUGAAGACUAACUACUGCGAAAGCAUUUGCCAAGGAUGUUUUCAUUAAUCAGGAACGAAAGUUAGGGGAUCGAAGACGAUCAGAUACCGUCGUAGUCUUAACCAUAAACUAUGCCGACUAGGGAUCGGACGAUGUUAUAUUUUUUGACGCGUUCGGCACCUUACGAGAAAUCAAAGUGCUUGGGCUCCU